Molecule: long non-coding RNA, 250 nt
Filed under: Linum usitatissimum (flax)
Lineage: Eukaryota; Viridiplantae; Streptophyta; Magnoliopsida; Malpighiales; Linaceae
Description: long non-coding RNA (LUSI_LNC004073)
Source: RNAcentral
UUGAAAUGAUGAACAAUUUACUUCACUGUUGGUUUGAUACUCAGCAGGCAUCAUUUUGUAAAGACAUAAACAAACAAAUUUUGCUAGUUUCCUCAUAUUGUAAAUAUCCCAGUGACGAACAAUGUUUAGUAAUCCGAAACUGUACGUGAAACAGUUUCACAAGAGCAUGGUGCUCCCUCCAUGCAGAGGUUGAGGAACCAUUUGCUCAUAGUUUCACGUACCAGGUGAAAUUUAGGCGAAAAGCUGAGGG